This 1378-nucleotide ribosomal RNA is filed under the name uncultured bacterium. RNAcentral describes it as "bacterial SSU rRNA". It matches the Rfam family "Bacterial small subunit ribosomal RNA". The record is from RNAcentral.
UUUGAUCAUGGCUCAGGACGAACGCUGGCGGCGUGCUUAACACAUGCAAGUCGAACGAUGAAGCGGUGCUUGCACCGUGGAUUAGUGGCGAACGGGUGAGUAAUACGUGAGUGACCUACCUUUGACUCUGGGAUAAGCCUGGGAAACUGGGUCUAAUACCGGAUACGACCAAUCUCUGCAUGGGGUGUUGGUGGAAAGCGUUAUGGAGUGGUUUUAGAUGGGCUCACGGCCUAUCAGCUUGUUGGUGAGGUAAUGGCUUACCAAGGCGACGACGGGUAGCCGGCCUGAGAGGGUGACCGGCCACACUGGGACUGAGACACGGCCCAGACUCCUACGGGAGGCAGCAGUGGGGAAUAUUGCACAAUGGGUGCAAGCCUGAUGCAGCGACGCCGCGUGAGGGAUGACGGCCUUCGGGUUGUAAACCUCUGUUAGCAUCGAAGAAGCGAAAGUGACGGUAGGUGCAGAGAAAGCGCCGGCUAACUACGUGCCAGCAGCCGCGGUAAUACGUAGGGCGCGAGCGUUGUCCGGAAUUAUUGGGCGUAAAGAGCUUGUAGGCGGUUGGUCGCGUCUGCUGUGAAAGGCCGGGGCUUAACUCCGGUUUUGCAGUGGGUACGGGCUAACUAGAGUGCAGUAGGGGAGACUGGAAUUCCUGGUGUAGCGGUGGAAUGCACAGAUAUCAGGAGGAACACCGAUGGCGAAGGCAGGUCUCUGGGCUGUAACUGACGCUGAGAAGCAAAGCAUGGGGAGCGAACAGGAUUAGAUACCCUGGUAGUCCAUGCCGUAAACGUUGGGCACUAGGUGUGGGGGACAUUCCACGUUUUCCGCGCCGUAGCUAACGCAUUAAGUGCCCCGCCUGGGGAGUACGGCCGCAAGGCUAAAACUCAAAGGAAUUGACGGGGGCCCGCACAAGCGGCGGAGCAUGCGGAUUAAUUCGAUGCAACGCGAAGAACCUUACCAAGGCUUGACAUGCAUUAGAUCGCGUCAGAGAUGGCGUUUCCCUUCGGGGCUGGUGUACAGGUGGUGCAUGGUUGUCGUCAGCUCGUGUCGUGAGAUGUUGGGUUAAGUCCCGCAACGAGCGCAACCCUCGUUCUAUGUUGCCAGCGGUUUGGCCGGGGACUCAUAGGAGACUGCCGGGGUCAACUCGGAGGAAGGUGGGGAUGACGUCAAAUCAUCAUGCCCCUUAUGUCUUGGGCUUCACGCAUGCUACAAUGGCCGGUACAGAGGGUUGCGAUACUGUGAGGUGGAGCUAAUCCCUUAAAGCCGGUCUCAGUUCGGAUUGGGGUCUGCAACUCGACCCCAUGAAGUCGGAGUCGCUAGUAAUCGCAGAUCAGCAACGCUGCGGUGAAUACGUUCCCGGGCCUUGCACACACCGCCCGUC